Molecule: ribosomal RNA, 710 nt
Filed under: uncultured bacterium
Lineage: Bacteria
Description: bacterial SSU rRNA
Rfam family: Bacterial small subunit ribosomal RNA
Source: RNAcentral
AGUGGCGCACGGGUGAGGAACACGUAGCUGACCUGCCUCUCAGCGGGGGAUAACGGCGCGAAAGCGCUGCUAAUACCGCAUAAGCUCACGAUGCUUAGAAAGUAGCGAGCAAAGGCUAACGCCACUGAGAGAGGGGGCUGCGACCCAUCAGGUAGAUGGUAAGGUAACGGCUUACCAUGCCGACGACGGGUCACGGGUCUGAGAGGAUGACCCGUCACACUGGGACUGAGACACGGCCCAGACUCCUACGGGAGGCAGCAGUGAGGAAUAUUGCACAAUGGGGGCAACCCUGAUGCAGCGACGCCGCGUGGGUGAAGAAGGUCUUCGGAUCGUAAAACCCUUUUCUGCGUGACGAGCAAGGACGGUAGCGCAGGAAGAAGUCUCGGCUAACUACGUGCCAGCAGCCGCGGUAAAACGUAGGAGACGAGCGUUAUCCGGAGUUACUGGGCGUAAAGCGCGUGUAGGUGGUGGAUUACGUCUGCUGUGAAAACACACGGCUCAACCGCGUGCAGGCGGCAGAUACGGAUCGACUAGAGGGUGACAGAGGAGCGUAGAAUUCCGGGUGUAGUGGUGAAAUGCGUAGAGAUCCGGAGGAAUACCAGUGGCGCAAGCGGCGCUCUGGGUCACAACUGACACUGAGACGCGAAGGCAUGGGGAGCGAACGGGAUUAGAAACCCCGGUAGUCCAUGCAGUAAACGAUGCAGACUGGG